CCCUUAGAUGUUCUGGGCCGCACGCGCGCUACACUGAAGGGAUCAGCGUGUUUUCCCUUCCCGAGAGGGUCGGGUAACCCGCUGAACCCCCUUCGUGGUAGGGAUCGGAGCUUGCAAUUGUUCUCCGUGAACCAGGAAUUCCCAGUAAGCGCAAGUCAUAAGCUUGCGUUGAUUACGUCCCUGCCCUUUGUACACACCGCCCGUCGCUACUACCGAUUGAACGUUUUAGUGAGGUAUUUGGACUGGGCCUUGGGAGGUUUCGGCCUCCCUUGUUGCUCGGAAAGACUCCCAAACUUGAGCGUUUAGAGGAAGUAAAAGUCGUAACA
Molecule: ribosomal RNA, 326 nt
Filed under: uncultured eukaryote
Lineage: Eukaryota
Description: partial 18S ribosomal RNA
Rfam family: Eukaryotic small subunit ribosomal RNA
Source: RNAcentral